Non-coding RNA from Danio rerio (zebrafish), 785 nucleotides. The record is from RefSeq and is a predicted model, not a curated record. NCBI's taxonomy places the organism in Eukaryota, Metazoa, Chordata, Actinopteri, Cypriniformes, Danionidae.
UGUACAGUAUGUUCCUAUUCUGCGGGUUUCACCAUGUGUAUUCUAUAUUGAUUCAGCUUUUAAUUAGCUCACCGAAAGAUUUACAAACAACUCGUCUUUGUUUGCGUGGGUAACCUGUAUCAAGUUUAAAAUGUAUAGAAAUGGGAGCCUAUUUUUGGUACGAGCUAUCAUUCAUUUUCAAUGUGUUUGUUUUUUUUUCUUUACAAGUUCAGGCUAAACGACUCUCAAUUCACGGAUGAAACACGUCACGUGAUAUUGAAUAUAAUAGCCAGAGCUGUGUACCUGAAAUGAAUAGUUACAGCUUGCUCUUUCACAGAUAUGAAGAUCAUCCAUCAGCAAGUUCUAAACUCUAGUGCCACCCAUGUUUACCAAGUCGUGCCCGGCCACUGUUUCAUCUCAACUGGUAACAGACAGCCCAGCCCACCCGCUGUUUCAUGUCCUCAUGGGCUCUUCCCAAAUGCAGACACCAUGAGGUUCACCAUCAAGGCUUUUCCAGCGAUCUUCAUUUCCUCCCUCUGUUGACAGUAGAUCCCGCAGUCCACGCUGAGAGAUCAUUUUCUUGCCAGCCUCUUCCAGCUCUGUUAUCAUUGUCUGUGUACCAUUACUAAAAGUGUUAUCUUAUCUGAGCACCCGCAUCGCUCACUUCCGUGGUUUGUUUUUGAAACGACGAGUAUUAAUAUUAUGCUUUGAAUAAUAAAAAAUGUACUUUAAUUUACAAAAGGUUAGUAUUUGCUCACCCUUAAGUGGCUUUAAACCUUUAUGACUUUCUUCUGUUAAACACAAAU